This 105-nucleotide ribosomal RNA is filed under the name bovine gut metagenome. The record is from RNAcentral.
UUAUGGUAUUGAGGGUACACCUGUUCCCAUCUCGAACACAGUAGUUAAGCUCAAUUACGCUGAAGAUACUUAGCUGGUGACGGCUUGGAAAAAUAAGAUGAUGCC